GGAGGAUCCAAGCGUUAUCCGGAUUUAUUGGGUUUAAAGGGUGCGUAGGUGGCCUGGUAAGUCAGGGGUGAAAGACGGUAGCUUAACUAUCGCAGUGCCUUUGAUACUGCCGGGCUUGAAUGAACUAGAGGUAGGCGGAAUGUGACAAGUAGCGGUGAAAUGCAUAGAUAUGUCACAGAACACCGAUUGCGAAGGCAGCUUACUAUGGUUUUAUUGACACUGAGGCACGAAAGCGUGGGGAUCAAACAGGAUUAGAUACCCUGGUAGUCCACGCCCUAAACGAUGAAUACUCGAUGUUGGCGAUAUACGGUCAGCGUCUAAGCGAAAGCGUUAAGUAUUCCACCUGGGGAGUACGCCCGCAAGGGUG
RNAcentral lists this ribosomal RNA (367 nucleotides) under uncultured bacterium. Its description in RNAcentral is "bacterial SSU rRNA". It matches the Rfam family "Bacterial small subunit ribosomal RNA", at positions 527 to 896 of the family's 1533-position model. The record is from RNAcentral.